This 474-nucleotide ribosomal RNA is filed under the name uncultured bacterium. Its description in RNAcentral is "SSU rRNA". It matches the Rfam family "Bacterial small subunit ribosomal RNA", at positions 26 to 518 of the family's 1533-position model. The record is from RNAcentral.
AGGACGAACGCUGGCGGCGUGCUUAACACAUGCAAAUCGAGCGGAAAGGCCCUUCGGGGUACUCGAGCGGCGAACGGGUGAGUAACACGUGAGUAAUCUGCCCCUAGCUCUGGGAUAGCUCCGGGAAACCGGGAUUAAUACCAGAUACGACCACUUUAGACAUCUGUUGUGGUGGAAAGAAUUUUGGCUAGGGAUGAGCUCGCGGCCUAUCAGCUUGUUGGUGAGGUAACGGCUCACCAAGGCGACGACGGGUAGCCGGCCUGAGAGGGCGACCGGCCACACUGGGACUGAGACACGGCCCAGACUCCUACGGGAGGCAGCAGUGGGGAAUAUUGCGCAAUGGGCGAAAGCCUGACGCAGCGACGCCGCGUGGGGGAUGAAGGCCUUCGGGUUGUAAACCCCUUUCAGCAGGGACGAAGCGAAAGUGACGGUACCUGCAGAAGAAGCGCCGGCUAACUACGCGCCAGCAGCCGC